Molecule: ribosomal RNA, 918 nt
Filed under: uncultured Bacillota bacterium
Lineage: Bacteria; Bacillati; Bacillota
Description: bacterial SSU rRNA
Rfam family: Bacterial small subunit ribosomal RNA
Source: RNAcentral
UGGAUCCAGACUUUGAUCCUGGCUCAGGACGAACGCUGGCGGCGUGCUUAACACAUGCAAGUCGAACGGAGCACCCUUGAAAGAGUUUUCGGACAAUGGAUAGGAAUGCUUAGUGGCGGACUGGUGAGUAACGCGUGAGGAACCUGCCUUCCAGAGGGGGACAACAGUUGGAAACGACUGCUAAUACCGCAUGACAUAUUCUAAUCGCAUGGUUGGAAUAUCAAAGAUUUAUCGCUGGAAGAUGGCCUCGCGUCUGAUUAGAUAGUAGGCGGGGUAACGGCCCACCUAGUCGACGAUCAGUAGCCGGACUGAGAGGUUGACCGGCCACAUUGGGACUGAGAUACGGCCCAGACUCCUACGGGAGGCAGCAGUGGGGAAUAUUGGGCAAUGGGCGCAAGCCUGACCCAGCAACGCCGCGUGAAGGAAGAAGGCUUUCGGGUUGCAAACUUCUUUUAAGAGGGAAGAGAAGAAGACGGUACCUCUUGAAUAAGCCACGGCUAACUACGUGCCAGCAGCCGCGGUAAUACGUAGGUGGCAAGCGUUGUCCGGAUUUACUGGGUGUAAAGGGCGUGCAGCCGGGAAGACAAGUCAGAUGUGAAAUCCCGCGGCUCAACCGCGGAACUGCAUUUGAAACUGUUUUUCUUGAGUACCGGAGAGGUCAUCGGAAUUCCUUGUGUAGCGGUGAAAUGCGUAGAUAUAAGGAAGAACACCAGUGGCGAAGGCGGAUGACUGGACGGCAACUGACGGUGAGGCGCGAAAGCGUGGGGAGCAAACAGGAUUAGAUACCCUGGUAGUCCACGCUGUAAACGAUCGAUACUAGGUGUGCGGGGACUGACCCCCUGCGUGCCGCAGUUAACACAAUAAGUAUCGCACCUGGGGAGUACGAUCGCAAGGUUGCAACUCAAAGGAAUUGACGGA